GAAGUCUCUCAGCCCCACUCACCUCACAGAGUGUUUGUUGUGGGGGAGGAAGGGAAAGGAGAAUGUUGGCUGCUUUGAGACUCCUUAGGGUAGUGAUAAAGCAGGAUAUCAAAUCCAUUCUCCUUUCCCUUCCCUUCCUCCCCCACAACAAACACUCUGUGAGGUGAGUGGGGCUGAGAGACUUC
Podarcis lilfordi (Lilford's wall lizard) is the source of this 185-nucleotide non-coding RNA. NCBI's taxonomy places the organism in Eukaryota, Metazoa, Chordata, Lepidosauria, Squamata, Lacertidae. The record is from the annotation of a GenBank genome assembly.